This is a long non-coding RNA of Mirounga angustirostris (Northern elephant seal), 1717 nucleotides long. RefSeq lists it as uncharacterized. The transcript has 4 exons. The record is from RefSeq and is a predicted model, not a curated record. NCBI's taxonomy places the organism in Eukaryota, Metazoa, Chordata, Mammalia, Carnivora, Phocidae.
GUUUUCCUGGAGGCCCGGAGCCAGAGAGGGUCGGAACCUGCGGGCGGGGCGCUCCCUAUCCCCCUACUCAGGCUGGGACUCGGGAAGCGUCCGGCCCUCCGAGGAAGCCUGACUCCAAUGGAGCUUGGGGUAAAGAUGAAGCAGAGGAGAGGCGGCCUGAGGGGAGCAGAACAACUUUGAUUUUUACUUAACUCGCUCUCGUCUCCUCGCUCCCCUUCCCCAAAACAACUUUCUCUUCCGGGGUCAGGCAGGACCGCCCCCGAAGCGUACCUUGCGCUCCAUGGGCGCCCGGAGCUAUGAGAUUCGGUGUGAUUUUUGAGGUUCCCCGGUUGCCAGCAACCCCAGAAAUGAGCGGGCUGCCCCCAGCCCCGCACCGCGCCGGGGCCUCGACCGUGCCCUCUGGUCCGCGGGCACCGCCUGCAGGCUGUGUAACCUGGGCGCACAUCUUCUGGAUGUUUGUUUAUUGUUUAUACACUAACAGGAAGUCCCUCUCCCCAUUACGUCAAAAGCAGAGAAGUCAGAAUCUGUAAGGUUCUCAUUGGCAUGGAUGCACCCCAUCGGGAGUCCAAACGCAAAAACGAGGUAGCAAAGCCAUUCUGACCAGUGGGGUGGUAUCUCCUUGUAGUUUUGAUUUGCAUUUCCCUGAUGAGUCUCCUCCUCUGAAAGGACAUCUGGAAGUUGCUCCCUUUGGUCUUCCUUCUGUCCUCCCUUCAGGAUGCUCAGGAUACUACUCUGCCCUUCCCUGGGGCUCCCAGCCUCAUCUCAGAACAAGAGAGUGAGAUGCCCCAGCCUCUGAAGUUCCUUCUUGGCUUCAUUCUGGACGUUGGUUGGCCGCCCCUCCUCUGCUUCCUCAUGAAGUAUGUGUGAUGAUGCUUCUCCAGCCUGCUCUACACUCCCCUGUCCCCUGGGAGGGCUUUGGACCUGGAAGCCAACCCUAAGAGGCUGCAUCAGUUCACUGAGAACCAUUUGGACCACAGCGACCUUGAAAUAACCACAGAGCCAAAGCCAAGAUGAUAAGGAACACUGAAAAACAAAGAGAGAAAAAAAAAAAAGAGCAAGAAAUCUCUAACCUAAAGGGCCAGUGCUCCUCUGAGAAAAGUAAGAAUGAAAUUGUUAUGGAAGCUGGACUGGAUCUCCUAAGGGAAGAACCAAGCGGCACCUGGAGAUCUUGGAGGUUAGGAGGUUUAUUUAACGCUGGCGGGCUCAGAGGAGAGUGGUCUCUCCAAAGUUCUGAGCCUCAAGCACAAACAAAGGGGGUAAUUUAUACACUUCUACUUCCGCAUACUGGGCACUUUUGGCGUGUGCGCGAAGCGGGGCAGGAAGAAGAACCCGGAAGAGCCCCGGGCCAGGGACUGGCUCGCUGGCUCGGUCGGCCAUCUUAGGACACAGAUUUCCCUUAUCAAAAUGACACUUCAGGGGUGCCUGGAUGGCUCAGUUCAUUAGGUGGCUGCCUUUGGCUUGGUCAUGAUCCUGGGGUCCUGGGAUCGAGCCCCGCAUUGGGCUCCCUGCUCGGUGGAGCUUCUCCCUCUCCCUCUGCCUGCCUCACUGCGUACUUGUGCUCUCUAUCUCUCUGUCAAAUAAAUAAAUAAAAUCUUUAAAAAAAAAAUGACUCUUCAAAACAUUUCAAAGAUAAUGUCAUAGAUCAUAUCACAGCAUCACCUUACAGCACAUAAUCAAGAACAUCACAUUAGCCACAUUAUGGGUUUUGGUUUUUUCC